This 181-nucleotide small nuclear RNA is filed under the name Canis lupus familiaris (dog). RNAcentral describes it as "U2 spliceosomal RNA (multiple genes)". It matches the Rfam family "U2 spliceosomal RNA". Rfam says of the family: U2 is a small nuclear RNA (snRNA) component of the spliceosome (involved in pre-mRNA splicing). Complementary binding between U2 snRNA (in an area lying towards the 5' end but 3' to hairpin I) and the branchpoint sequence (BPS) of the intron results the bulging out of an unpaired adenosine, on the BPS, which initiates a nucleophilic attack at the intronic 5' splice site, thus starting the first of two transesterification reactions that mediate splicing. The record is from Rfam by way of RNAcentral. RNAcentral also lists the same sequence under 1 other name. Lineage: Eukaryota; Metazoa; Chordata; Mammalia; Carnivora; Canidae.
AUUUAUUUUUGGGCCCAAGAUCAUGAAUAGUAUGUGUUCUUAUUUAAUAUUUCAUAACUCCUCUACCUGAGAAUACUUUAUAAAGUGGAUUUUUGGAACAGGGAGAUUGAAUAGAGGCUUGCUCCAUUCAUUCCACAAACCAAUCUGAUAUUGCAGUACUUCCGUGAAUGAUGUGUCUCUC